Non-coding RNA from Pocillopora verrucosa, 1890 nucleotides. NCBI's taxonomy places the organism in Eukaryota, Metazoa, Cnidaria, Anthozoa, Scleractinia, Pocilloporidae. The record is from RefSeq and is a predicted model, not a curated record.
AACAUGGCGGCAUGUUUGGAGAAGAGUGCUGGAAAAUUACUCACUUUUAUUAUGACUUCAAAACUUGAAAGAGAACGCUCCUUAAGCUUCUCUUUAGUUGGAAAUUAUGUUUUUCUUCGGUCUGGUCAUAUAUGUAUGAAGGAAUGGUCACAGGAAUGUACAACCAGACAAGGACUUGAAAGAGUUCAUGCGAACUCACAUCCUGAAUGGCACAGAGAACAGAGAGCAUAAGCAAGUAUGUGGUUUUACGGAGAUCUUACCAAAAGUCACGGUUGAGCAGUCAUCACUGGACCUCCUCUUCAUGCAGAGACCGGAUUGUGGCGAGCCCCUCGUGGAGGACAUCCCUCAAAAAAUGAAAAAGUUUGAUCGAAGUCAGUAGACGGUUUGAGAUGUGUAACCGAGAGUUAUUGAAAGACGAGAAGAGUUUUCAAAAUAGAAAAAUGGAAGAAAUAUUACGAUUCUCUUCCACGAGACUUGGCAAAUAUUGAUGUUGUUGUAAGGAACUGCGUCCGUCGUCUUGGAGGUCUGCUUGCGUAUUUAAAUUCUUCUUUUUAUCUGGCAAGGCAAUGCAGCUCAGUUUAUUCCUAUGGGAAAAGAGUGUCGAUGAAGACUUUCCUUCGGACGAUCAACUCCGACUGAAUGUUGUUAACCCUUUCACCCCCAAGAUCUCAUUAGUAAUUCUCCUUAUUGUCUGCCAUACAGCUCUUAUGGCGUUAGUUCAGAGAAUUUAGUAUUGGAUCAACUAAAAAUCCCAUAAUUGAUAUUUUUCUUUAUUCUCAUCACCUGCCUGCUUGAUAUUGUAUUGAUAUUGUAAGGAGAAAUUCUGUCUUGGUCACUUGUGGGAGUGAAAGGGUUAGUAUAACAAGUUAAUUGGGUUUUCUCAAGCUAACGUUUCAAGCGUUAGCCCUUUUUCACUCUAACGAAGGGUUGACGUUCGAAAGGUCAAUUUUCAAACUCUUUACGGUGGCCAAUUUACGUAAUAUCAACUCAGUUGAUAAACCAAAUUACCUUGUUAUACUCUUCCACCGACGCAGCACCAGUUUCUUUAGAAACUUACCCCCUUAUAUUAGAACGCUUAUCAUCUUCAAUACUAAAUCCGCUUCCCCAUUUAUUCAUUUGUUCUUUAUAUAAGAUCGUUUGAUCAAGAAUGGAAGAAAAAGACUGGAACAUUUUCGCGGCGUUUUGUGGCCACAAUAGUGUCUCUUUUAGCUUCUCUGUGGCCGGGAAAUGCGUCAUUUCAACCCAAAUAUCUUGCAUAUCGUCCAUUCUGCCAAGGCGUCGAUGAGAGUGUUUCUUCGAGUCUGCUGAAGCGAGUGGUUUGAAUUCGACGACGAAGAAGGAUGGAUGAAUGUCCUUUUGUCACAACUUUUCUCAAGGACAGCGUUAGGCACGGAAUGAGGCUGUCACCAAAUCAAGGCUAAAUCGAAUUGAAUUCAAGGGAGGAAAGGAAGACAAGGCAACUUACUAAAACGUCGACAGAUGCACGAAUAGAAAACAAGAAAAGGCUGUAAGACAAUAUUUAUCCAGAGGUAGAAAACAAAUGUAGCCCAUUUCUUCCAAGAUGCAGCGAGUCAACUAAGAGACAUUCACCAAAGUCGACGACUUGAAGCCAAACGUGAGCAAAUGGUGUGACGCGAUUUUGUUGGACUUUGAAAUUUUAUUUGUCGGCCUAAUAUCCAUGGCAUGGACUGCUUAAAAAUUUUUAAUUUUCCCGCCAAAAAACUUAGAAAAAAUACGGGUACCUUUAACUACGCAUGCGCCAAUUUUUUAUUUAGUCUGUAACUAACAUCUGUUCAGAUGUGGCUUAUUUUCCCGCCAAAAGACUUAGAAAAAUCGGCGCCUAAAAAUACGCAUGCGCCAUUUUUUUUUUUUUGUUGAUCGAAGUUGUAC